CAGCCGCCGCGGUAAUACGAAGGGUGCAAGCGUUAAUCGGAAUUACUGGGCGUAAAGCGUGCGUAGGCGGUUUGUUAAGUCUGUUGUGAAAUCCCCGGGCUCAACCUGGGAAUGGCAAUGGAUACUGGCAAGCUAGAGUGUGUCAGAGGAUGGUGGAAUUCCCGGUGUAGCGGUGAAAUGCGUAGAGACCGGGAGGAACAUCAGUGGCGAAGGCGGCCAUCUGGGACAACACUGACGCUGAGGCACGAAAGCGUGGGGAGCAAACAGGAUUAGAUACCCCGGUAGUCCCUGUCUCUUAUAC
Molecule: ribosomal RNA, 301 nt
Filed under: uncultured bacterium
Lineage: Bacteria
Description: partial 16S ribosomal RNA
Rfam family: Bacterial small subunit ribosomal RNA
Source: RNAcentral